This 3042-nucleotide ribosomal RNA is filed under the name Triticum aestivum (bread wheat). RNAcentral's name for it is "partial small subunit ribosomal RNA". The record is from RNAcentral. Lineage: Eukaryota; Viridiplantae; Streptophyta; Magnoliopsida; Poales; Poaceae.
AUGGGGGCGCGGAGGACGCCAUGCGGCUGGAGACUGCUCUUCUUCCUUGGGCUGCUUGCCGAGGUCCAUGGCUCUUCGUCUCCAGGGGUUAAGGCAGUAGCCGAUGCCCUCCCUCCUACCUCUAGGCUCUUCCCCGCUGAAGUGCGCACUCUUCGACGGAUCGCGGCGAAUUUGGGGAUAUCGCAUUGGAACUUCUCCACCAAUCACUGUGGCUCCGGCGGCGGAUUGGAGUGUGACUGCUCCUUCAACAACAGUACAUUAUGCCAUGCCACUGAGAUAUUCCUCAAGGGCCAGAACUUCACCGGCCGGCUCCCACCAGAUUUUGCUGAUCUCCCUAAUCUCCUCCAGCUAGACCUAAGCAGGAGCUUGUUCCAUGGCACGGUGCCUGACCGGUGGGCCCGGAUGAAGUUGCAAGGACUGUCACUAAUGGGAAACAGAUUGUCAGGGCCUUUUCCCAUGGCUCUUACGAGAAUCACAACCUUGACUAGCCUGAGCAUUGAAGCAAAUGAGUUCCGUGGGCAAAUCCCAGCUGAAAUUGGGCAUCUCAAGCAACUGGAGAAGCUGAUAAUAUCAACCAACGAGUUCACUGGACCCCUGCCGGCUGCUCUUUCCUUGCUGACCAAUUUGACCGACUUAAGGAUUUCUGGAAACAAUUUAUCUGGGAGAGUUCCUGAUUUCUUGGCUAAACUGACAAAGCUUGGAAAACUGCAAAUCGAAGGAUCUUUGCUGGAAGGGCCUAUUCCCCCGGGCUUAUCCAAAUUGACAAACCUUUCUGAUCUGAGAAUUAGUGAUCUGAGAGGCAGUGGAUCAGUUUUCCCGGAUCUAAGAGGAAUGCAAUCGAUGAAAGCAUUGGUCCUUAGGAAUUGUUCAAUCAGCGGGGGAAUCCCUUCUUACAUAUGGAGCAUGGAAAAUCUCACGCAUCUGGAUCUGAGCUUUAAUGAACUGACCGGAAAAGUAACAGAUUCGUUCACUAAUAGGGGAACCGUACAUUACAUAUAUCUAACUGGAAAUUCACUCACUGGGAACAUACCUGAUUGGCUAUUGCGAAGCAACAGCAUUGUGGACCUCUCUUUUAAUAAUUUCACGAUUGGGAGCUCAGGUCGUCCUACUCAAUGUCAAGGGAGCGCCAAUCUAGUGGAGAGUUAUUCACCUGAAAUGAACAGUUUAAAUAAUGUCCAGCCAUGCUUGAAGAAGAACUUCCCAUGUGCUUCGAAUGGACAAUACAGAUCAUCCUUGCAUAUCAAUUGUGGAGACAAAGAAGCAAUUGUCAAUGGCGUAAAAUAUGAAGGUGACACCACACCAAAAGGUGCUUCCAUGUUGUAUUUAAGCCCAGACUCAAACUGGGCAUUCAGCAGCACUGGGAACUUCAUGGACGACAACAUCAAUGAUGACAACUACAUUGCCUCAAACACAUCAAAACUGACCAUGCCCAACUCCAAGCUGUAUGCAAAAGCGCGCCUUUCUCCUCUUUCGCUCACAUAUUAUGGGCUUUGUAUGCAUAAUGGGAGCUACACAGUUAAACUCCAUUUUGCCGAAAUUAUAUUCACCAAUGACAGAACAUACCGCAGCCUUGGCAAAAGAAAAUUCAAUGUGUUCAUACAGGGAAGAAUGGUGCUAGAGGAUUUUGAUAUUGAGCAAUCUGCUGGUGGGGCUGGAAAGCUAGUCAUCAAGACUUUCACAGCAUAUGUCACAAAUCAUACACUGAAGAUUCAAUUCUAUUGGGCAGGAAGAGGGACAACAGGCAUUCCAUAUAGAGGAUUUUACGGCCCUCUAAUAUCUGCAAUAUCAGUAACUCCAAACUUCCAGAUUCCUUUGGCUGUUGAACCUCCCCAAACUGGCAGUAGCACGAAAAUUUCAAGGACAUCUAAAGCUUUGCUGAUUGGAGGCCCAAUUAUUGCGAUAUUCACUGCUCUUGUUGUUGGUAUCUGGAUUAAGCGACGACAGAAGAACUUGGUGAAUCAAGAUCCCCGGGCACUUGACCUCCAAAUUGGCUCAUUUACCUUGAGACAAAUCAAAUCAGCAACGAGAAACUUUGAUCCAGCCAACAAGAUUGGCGAAGGUGGUUUUGGUUCGGUUUACAAGGGUUUGUUGUCCGAUGGCACCAUUAUUGCUGUCAAACAGCUAUCAUCAAAGUCCAAGCAAGGGAAUCGUGAAUUUGUGAAUGAGAUUGGCAUGAUAUCUGCACUCCAGCAUCCAAACCUUGUCAGGCUGUAUGGCUGUUGUACAGAAGGAAACCAGCUCUUGCUAGUUUACGAGUACAUGGAAAAUAAUUGCCUUGCACGUGCUCUCUUUGUUGAAGAAUAUAGACUGGCAUUGGAUUGGCCAACGAGACGUAAGAUUUGCCUGGGGAUAGCAAGGGGUCUGGCAUAUCUGCAUGAGGAGUCUGCAAUAAGGAUUGUGCACCGAGAUAUCAAGGCUAGCAAUAUACUGCUUGACAAAGAUUUGGAUGCUAAGAUCUCAGAUUUUGGUCUAGCAAAGCUUAAUGAAGAUGGCCACACCCACAUAAGUACAAAAGUAGCUGGAACAAUUGGAUACAUGGCUCCUGAGUAUGCAAUGCGUGGUUAUUUGACAGACAAAGCUGAUGUUUACAGUUUUGGGGUUGUUGCUUUGGAAAUCGUGAGUGGAAAAAGCAACACAAACUACAGGCCAAAGGAAGAUUUUGUUUAUCUUCUCGAUUGGGCUUGUGUUUUACAUGAGAGAGGAACUCUCCUGGAGCUGGUAGAUCCAGACUUAGGAUCCAAUUACUCAACAGAAGAGGCACUCCUCAUGCUGAAUGUGGCUCUCUUAUGCACCAACGCAGCACCGACACUUAGACCAAAGAUGUCCAACGCGGUGAGCCUGCUCGAGGGCCAUACCCCCCUGCAACCCUUCCUAUCAGAACUCAGCCUUGCUGCAAACAGCCUGAGCUCAAGUGGUCUACGCAGAAACUUCUGGGAAAAUCCAAGUGAGAGCCAGAGCAUAACGGCACAAGCAUCAUGUAACAACACCAGUGACUUGUCAUCUUUAGAUGUUGAUGGUAGCUUGAGACAUUUUGCGACUUAA